RNAcentral lists this transfer RNA (77 nucleotides) under Sulfoacidibacillus thermotolerans. RNAcentral describes it as "Acidibacillus sulfuroxidans tRNA-Met". It matches the Rfam family "tRNA". From Rfam's summary of the family: Transfer RNA (tRNA) molecules are approximately 80 nucleotides in length. The record is from RNAcentral. RNAcentral also lists the same sequence under 1 other name. Lineage: Bacteria; Bacillati; Bacillota; Bacilli; Caryophanales; Alicyclobacillaceae.
GGCGGAGUAGCUCAGCUGGUUAGAGCAUGCGGUUCAUACCCGCAGUGUCGGGGGUUCGAGUCCCUCCUCCGCCACCA